This 334-nucleotide ribosomal RNA is filed under the name uncultured eukaryote. Its description in RNAcentral is "partial 18S ribosomal RNA". It matches the Rfam family "Eukaryotic small subunit ribosomal RNA", at positions 1470 to 1796 of the family's 1831-position model. The record is from RNAcentral.
CCCUUAGAUGUCCGGGGCCGCACGCGCGCUACACUGAAGGAAUCAGCGUGGCUUUCUCCCUGACCCGAAAGGGUUGGGAAACCCGUUGAAUCUCCUUCGUGAUAGGGAUUGGGGCUUGAAAUUGUUCCCCAUGAACGAGGAAUUCCCAGUAAGCGCGAGUCAUAAGCUCGCGUUGAUUACGUCCCUGCCCUUUGUACACACCGCCCGUCGCUACUACCGAUUGAACGGUUUAGUGAGGUCUUCGGAUUGGCGCCACUGCGGCUCAGCAAUGGGCUCGGUGGAUGCCGAAAAGUUGAUCAAACUUGAUCAUUUAGAGGAAGUAAAAGUCGUAACA